UGUUUAAAAUAUUGUGGAGCACUCAGUGACGUGAAUCACAACUACUACACACAUUUUACUUAAUGUUUGGAAUGUCCUGAACAUAUUGAGAGAUGUGUGUAAAGAAGGGAGAGAGAGAUGGUGAGAGAGGAGAGAGUGAUGGGGAGAGAGGAGAGAGGUGUGGAAAGAAGGGAGAGAGUGAUGGGGAGAGAGGAGAGAGGUGUGUAAAGAAGGGAGAGAGUGAUGAGGAGAGAGGAGAGAGGUGUGUAAAGAAGGGAGAGAGGAGAGUGGAGAGGGGUGUGGAGUUGAUCACAGACUGCAGGGGGCAAAAAAUGAAAUUCAGUUAGAUGGGAAACUGUAUGGCGGAGGGGACCCUAAUGUACUUAACGUUGCACCUUUCAAGAACACUGAACAUAAAAAGUUUAAAGGGAAAAAAAACAGUUACUCAAUUGCAAUAGGACUAGCACUGGCAAUUUAUUCUCUCUCAAAGGGUAAAAUAAAAUAAAGUUUUACAUCCAAUUUUUGGACUGAGGUUGCUAAAGCUAUUAAUUGGCCCUAUGAAAGACCAAAAGGUCAAAGUCGUAGUGAGAAGAUACUUUGUACAAUUUGGAGAUGUAAUAGGGGU
Molecule: long non-coding RNA, 604 nt
Organism: Clupea harengus (Atlantic herring)
Lineage: Eukaryota; Metazoa; Chordata; Actinopteri; Clupeiformes; Clupeidae
Source: Ensembl